UAAAAAGCGAGCACAACCACAAGAAAGCGAAAAAAAAAAAACAAUGCAAGGAACUACCUGAGGGCCAAGAUGAAUGCUAAAGACUGGAAGACAUGGGAAUUAAAAACCAUGUCUCGAAGAGAA
Long non-coding RNA from Nematostella vectensis (starlet sea anemone), 123 nucleotides. RefSeq lists it as uncharacterized. Lineage: Eukaryota; Metazoa; Cnidaria; Anthozoa; Actiniaria; Edwardsiidae. The record is from RefSeq and is a predicted model, not a curated record. The transcript is spliced from 2 exons.